GACAGAGGUGCCAAGCGUUAGGCGGAAUCACUGGGCUUAAAGCGUGUGUAGGCGGAUGUCUAAGUACCUUGUGAAAUCCCACGGCUCAACCGUGGAACUGCUGGGCAUACUGGACAUCUCGAGGCACUCAGGGGCGAGCGGAACAAGUGGUGGAGCGGUGAAAUGCGUAGAUAUCACUUGGAACGCCAAUGGUGAAGACAGCUCGCUGGGGGUGUCCUGACGCUGAGGCGCGAAAGCCAGGGGAGCGAACGGG
Molecule: ribosomal RNA, 253 nt
Filed under: uncultured bacterium
Lineage: Bacteria
Description: partial 16S ribosomal RNA
Rfam family: Bacterial small subunit ribosomal RNA
Source: RNAcentral